UUCAUCCACCCACUUACAGCAGAGUCGGAUUUCAACAAGUGCCCCAACCUUCGAGUAACCCAAGCCAAGGAGGCGGCUCCCGGGUUUAUUAUUAAUUCAAACUGACAGGCUGAUUCGAGGGUUCCAAGAGAGCAGGAAGCCAAACAGACAAUGAAAGCUGGAACGAGAUCUUAAAUGAUUCACUACGCCAGUCGAGCGAUACAUUAAGCCGCCUGCGAUGGGAGGUGGGGACCCAGCCAGUAGACAUGCUUAGGCUAGCAAAGUGGGAUUGGCAGCUAACGUGCCAACGGAGCGCGGCUCAUCUCAUCGGGCGGCAAGCUGCAAUGGAGAACGAACGGUGGGAGCCUUUUUCAAGGUCAGGAAGGAGCAGAGGAGGAGAAGGGCUGGGCGAGGAAAGAAAGAGAGGAGGUGUGCUGUGCGGCAGAGAAAGUCGCUCUCCCCUUCUUAAAGCAAGGGUGGGGGCCUGCUUCUCAAUACAGCCAUGGGUCUGCCUCUGCUGACGAUGCCAGGCGCUAGGCAUCCUUCAAGGGGUGCUUUCCUGGGUGGAAAACAAGACCUGUAGCAUGGCUAAAGCACACCACAACCAAACGCCACAUCCAGCAAGUCUCCAUCAUGGCAACCAGAUGACUCCAGACAGCAACUCUUCUAAAGCUCUGGAUCGGCAAGAUUUCCUCCACUUGGGCAACUGACUUGCGAAGGACACUGCUGAAGGCCUGUCAGACCAAGCACUGCACAGAUCAAUCGAUCAGUCACUGCUUACCAUACACAGCAGGAAGAAAAGGCAAAGCGGGGGAACCGAGUCAUACGUUCUGUCGGCACUCACCUCCGUAUCAAGGAGUGUUGGAGGUUUCUGCAAACUGUGAGCGAUUCUCCCGUAAACAUGUGGCACAUGAUGACCUCGAGGCAGCUGGCCAUGAAUGACAUCACGGCAUCCGACUGCAAAGUCCCGCUCCGGGAGAUGAUGCAAAGGCGCUGCAGCGAAGAGCAGUGGCUCAAGGCUUGGAAGAACUGAGCGUUGGCACUGAAGUACGGCUGCUCCAGCCUGCAAGGGACAACGGAGAACCAAAUGAACGGCACAGACCUUAGCAUUUCUAUAAUGUUCAGGAGUCAUUAUCUCCCAUAAUCCGCAGCUCAUGACCAUGCUGGACAAGGAUACUGGAAGGCCCAGUCUGAAAAGCAGCUUUGCUAGUCCAGAGAGAAAUUGCACUCUGAGAGGCUUUGCAUAUGCACGGUUUUGCAAUGGCAGAGCAGGUGAGACCAUGCUUUAGGAUAGAUAUGGGCAAAAGGCAGUGAGUGGGUGGGUGGGAAAUACUUAUCUUGCCAUACACCAUCCAUUCCACCAGGUGACACUGUUGCUUUACUAUAUUCUUAAAAUAAUAUUUUACUACUGAGAGUAUCUCAAUUCUCCCCAUCCAUUGUAAGAAACGGGUGCUGCCUGGGGGACUCCUUUGUCGGGAGGUGUUAGCCAGCCCUGAUUGUUUCAUGCCUGGAAUUCCCGUUUUCAGAUUUGCAGUAAAUAAGGAUUCCCCCAGGCAGGAAUCAACCAAGCCUUGAGGCUGCAAGGCUUUUCAAUGCUGGUCACGGUGAUUAAUUGCAACAUUCACACUUGCCUCCAACAGACAAGAGUUCUUUCUCCCACCCUAGACAUCAUUCCACAGAUAUAUAAACCUCCCUUGCUUAGUUUCCAAUAUGCCUCACAACCUCUAAGGAUGCCUGCCAUAGAUGUGGGUGAAACGUCAGGAGAGAAAUGCUUGUGGAACAUGGCCAGACAGCCCAGAAAGCUCACAGCAGCCCACCCUAGUUCUCUUUACAAUGUAUGUGGUGCAGGCUGGAGAGCAGCUGCAAUGAAUCACUGCAAUGAAUCACUCUGACCAGGUCAUGAGUUCGAGGCCUGCUCAGAGCCUAUGUUUGUCUGUCUUUAUUCUAUGUUUUAAAAAAAGGCAUUAAAUGUUUGCCUAUAUGUGUAAUGUGAUCCGCCCUGAGUCCCCUUCGGGGUGAGAAGGGCAGAAUAUAAAUGCUGUAAAUAAAUAAAUAAAUAAAUAAACUAA
Molecule: long non-coding RNA, 2048 nt
Organism: Anolis carolinensis (green anole)
Lineage: Eukaryota; Metazoa; Chordata; Lepidosauria; Squamata; Anolidae
Exons: 2
Source: RefSeq, a predicted model, not a curated record